This 440-nucleotide ribosomal RNA is filed under the name uncultured bacterium. RNAcentral's name for it is "partial 16S ribosomal RNA". It matches the Rfam family "Bacterial small subunit ribosomal RNA", at positions 338 to 795 of the family's 1533-position model. The record is from RNAcentral.
CCUACGGGUGGCAGCAGUGGGGAAUAUUGGUCAAUGGGCGGAACCCUGAUCCAGCGACGCCGCGUGAGUGAAGAAGUAUCUCGGUAUGUAAAGCUCUAUUAGCAGGGAAGAAAAUGACGGUACCUGACUAAGAAGCCACGGCUAACUACGUGCCAGCAGCCGCGGUAAUACGGAGGCGGCAAGCGUUAUCCGGAUUUACUGGGUGUAAAGGGAGCGUAGGCGGUGCAGCAAGUCUGAUGUGAAAGGUAGGGGCUCAACCCCGGGACUGCAUUGGAAACUGUUGGACUGGAGUACAGGAGAGGUAGGCGGAAUGCCUGGUGUAGCGGUGAAAUGCAUAGAGAUUAGGAGGAACACCGGUGGCGAAGGCAGCUUACUGGACUGUAACUGACGUUGAGGCUCGAAAGCGUGGGGAGCAAACAGGAUUAGAUACCCCGGUAGUC